Long non-coding RNA from Syngnathus acus (greater pipefish), 941 nucleotides. RefSeq lists it as uncharacterized. The record is from RefSeq and is a predicted model, not a curated record. Lineage: Eukaryota; Metazoa; Chordata; Actinopteri; Syngnathiformes; Syngnathidae. The transcript is spliced from 5 exons.
AAGCAGAGAUGGGAGGACACGAUAAUGUCCACGCCAACUCGACUCGGGUCCAAAGUUGAGCAGAGCUCCGGCAGAGUAAUUGUGCUCAGAUGUCACCUGUCCAACUUCUCAUUAGCCCCGCCCCCUCCUCUUGUGUGAACAUCUCAGCAAUGGAAUAGAAGACGCUCUGAAAAGAAAAAACGCCUCCGUGACCGAGGAGUCCGAGGAACCAGAUAUGUUAUCUGGAGGAAUCUGGAGGGGAAAAGCAUUUCCCAAUCUGGCCCGCCUCGCCUUGGCCCGUCCUGCCUGCGGAGGAACGAACCAUUUGGACCGCAGGCCUCUUCCUGACAUCUGACAAUCCCAAAAAAAAAAAAAAAGAUCUGACGAAGGAAAAACGGAGAUAAGAUAUGCUGACGCGGCCAACUGAGUGCGAGCCACAAGAGAACAGCCGUGGUCAGCCAGAGGUUAUUUCAGCCUUGAUCAGAGGCCGCCAGCGACUCGGGCAGCUGCGGGCAACAUGACGAGAGGUGUGAACUCCCCCGAGCUUAAUGAGCCCACGGCGCAGGCGGAUUACACGGCGGGUCAAAGACGAUCGUGCUCUCAUCUGAUGGAGUGCAAACGAGUGAGACCUUACACACAUUGAUGGAAUUCCCGGGGGGACCGCCACGGAAAGAGAGAGAAAGAGAUCCCACGCCAGUGAUGCAGAAAGCAGAUGGAGAGAGGUGCGAGCACACACACAUGCACACACACACGUGUCUGUAUCAUGAUAUACAAUAUACACAUUCAGCCUUUGUGUUGAGGGAUUUGUUGAGUGUACGUUACGAAAGAGUGACAUUUUCACACUACCGCUUUAUGUCUUCACUUGCAUUGAGUCAAAGUGGAAAAAAUGUUGGCAAAUUUGAACCCAGCUCACACGCAAAAGUAACGAGAGACUCAGUAGAAAAUGGAAAAAUAUUUGUCUC